Molecule: long non-coding RNA, 212 nt
Filed under: Anas platyrhynchos (mallard)
Lineage: Eukaryota; Metazoa; Chordata; Aves; Anseriformes; Anatidae
Description: lncRNA (ENSAPLG00020017604.1)
Source: RNAcentral
GGCCGGGAGCCAUCCGGGGGGAAGCGUUUAGGCGACGGCCGCCGCGGGCGGGCUGAGGAAGGCGGCGGUGCGGUGGCUGCUACUUCAGGGACCUGUGGGAUUUAAGAAUAUCUCUCCUCUAAGAAAAUUUGCUGCUUCUACAGCCUUCCAUCUUAGUGGGCAAUUGAUGAUUUCACUUGAAAUACUUAUCUGAAGAAAUUAACAGUAGGCAA